UACGUAGGGUCCGAGCGUUGCUCGGAAUCACUGGGCGUAAAGGGCGCGUAGGCGGGGAGGUAAGUCGGGUGUGAAAUCCCUCGGCCCAACCGAGGAACUGCGCCCGAGACUGCUUCUCUUGAGUCCCGGAGAGGAAGGUGGAAUUCCCGGUGUAGCGGUGAAAUGUGUAGAGAUCGGGAGGAACACCGGUGGCGAAGGCGGCCUUCUGGACGGUGACUGACGCUGAGGCGCGAAAGCGUGGGGAGCAAACGGG
Molecule: ribosomal RNA, 253 nt
Filed under: uncultured bacterium
Lineage: Bacteria
Description: partial 16S ribosomal RNA
Rfam family: Bacterial small subunit ribosomal RNA
Source: RNAcentral